Hordeum vulgare subsp. vulgare (domesticated barley) is the source of this 212-nucleotide long non-coding RNA. RefSeq lists it as uncharacterized. The record is from RefSeq and is a predicted model, not a curated record. The transcript has 3 exons. Lineage: Eukaryota; Viridiplantae; Streptophyta; Magnoliopsida; Poales; Poaceae.
UCUGCAAGAUCAACCCGGCUCCUAAGGUGGCAAAUUCUGGUCCAAGAGGCCGAAAAAGGUGGCCCUGAAGCAAGCCAGGCCGCCUCCAAAAAAGAAAUCCAAGAGAAAAAGCAAAGCCGCCAUUACUGAACCGUCUGAUGUGGACAAAUCCCAAAUCGGUGACGUAUCUUUAGAGAAUGAUGGCAGCGAAAGCCAAGAAGACUCCGUAGAGG